AAACAAUAAGCCUGAAGUAUUACCCAACCCUUCCCACAAUAGUUGUGGGAAGGGUUGGGCAAUACUUCAGGCUUAUUGUAAA
Molecule: microRNA precursor, 82 nt
Filed under: Larimichthys crocea (large yellow croaker)
Lineage: Eukaryota; Metazoa; Chordata; Actinopteri; Sciaenidae
Description: mir-87 microRNA precursor family
Rfam family: mir-87 microRNA precursor family
Source: Rfam by way of RNAcentral